UAAUCAACAGAUGAAUGGAUAAAGAAACUAUUCAGAUUGAAAAAAAAAAAAAGGAAGGAAUUCCUGUCAUUUUCAACAACAGGGACGAACCUAGAGGACAUUAUGUUAAGUAAAAUAAGCCAGGCACAGAAAGUCAAAUACUGCAUUAUCUCACAUGUGGAAACUAAAAAAGUUGAACUCAUAGAAGCAGAGAGUAGAAUGAUAGUUCC
Molecule: long non-coding RNA, 209 nt
Filed under: Homo sapiens (human)
Lineage: Eukaryota; Metazoa; Chordata; Mammalia; Primates; Hominidae
Description: non-protein coding lnc-HNRNPA3-9:1
Source: RNAcentral